This 497-nucleotide ribosomal RNA is filed under the name uncultured bacterium. Its description in RNAcentral is "partial 16S ribosomal RNA". It matches the Rfam family "Bacterial small subunit ribosomal RNA", at positions 28 to 507 of the family's 1533-position model. The record is from RNAcentral.
GAUGAACGCUGGCGGCGUGCCUAAUACAUGCAAGUCGAGCGAACAGACGAGGAGCUUGCUCCUCUGACGUUAGCGGCGGACGGGUGAGUAACACGUGGAUAACCUACCUAUAAGACUGGGAUAACUUCGGGAAACCGGAGCUAAUACCGGAUAAUAUAUUGAACCGCAUGGUUCAAUAGUGAAAGACGGUUUUGCUGUCUCUUAUAGAUGGAUCCGCGCCGCAUUAGCUAGUUGGUAAGGUAACGGCUUACCAAGGCAACGAUGCGUAGCCGACCUGAGAGGGUGAUCGGCCACACUGGAACUGAGACACGGUCCAGACUCCUACGGGAGGCAGCAGUAGGGAAUCUUCCGCAAUGGGCGAAAGCCUGACGGAGCAACGCCGCGUGAAUGAUGAAGGUCUUCGGAUCGUAAAACUCUGUUAUUAGGGAAGAACAAAUGUGUAAGUAACUAUGCACGUCUUGACGGUACCUAAUCAGAAAGCCACGGCUAACUACGUG